RNAcentral lists this transfer RNA (64 nucleotides) under uncultured Acetatifactor sp. It matches the Rfam family "tRNA", at positions 8 to 63 of the family's 71-position model. From Rfam's summary of the family: Transfer RNA (tRNA) molecules are approximately 80 nucleotides in length. Their secondary structure includes four short double-helical elements and three loops (D, anti-codon, and T loops). Further hydrogen bonds mediate the characteristic L-shaped molecular structure. tRNAs have two regions of fundamental functional importance: the anti-codon, which is responsible for specific mRNA codon recognition, and the 3' end, to which the tRNAs corresponding amino acid is attached (by aminoacyl-tRNA synthetases). tRNAs cope with the degeneracy of the genetic code in two manners: having more than one tRNA (with a specific anti-codon) for a particular amino acid; and 'wobble' base-pairing, i.e. permitting non-standard base-pairing at the 3rd anti-codon position. Lineage: Bacteria; Bacillati; Bacillota; Clostridia; Lachnospirales; Lachnospiraceae. The record is from RNAcentral.
CAUAGCUCAGCUGGAUAGAGCAACGGCCUUCUAAGCCGUGGGUCGGGGGUUCGAAUCCCUUCGG